GAUGAACGCUGGCGGCGUGCCUAAUACAUGCAAGUCGAGCGAACAGACGAGGAGCUUGCUCCUCUGACGUUAGCGGCGGACGGGUGAGUAACACGUGGAUAACCUACCUAUAAGACUGGGAUAACUUCGGGAAACCGGAGCUAAUACCGGAUAAUAUAUUGAACCGCAUGGUUCAAUAGUGAAAGACGGUUUUGCUGUCACUUAUAGAUGGAUCCGCGCCGCAUUAGCUAGUUGGUAAGGUAACGGCUUACCAAGGCAACGAUGCGUAGCCGACCUGAGAGGGUGAUCGGCCACACUGGAACUGAGACACGGUCCAGACUCCUACGGGAGGCAGCAGUAGGGAAUCUUCCGCAAUGGGCGAAAGCUUGACGGAACAACGCCGCGUGAGUGAUGAAGGUCUUCGGAUCGUAAAACUCUGUUAUUAGGGAAGAACAAAUGUGUAAGUAACUAUGCACGUCUUGACGGUACCUAAUCAGAAAGCCACGGCUAACUACGUG
RNAcentral lists this ribosomal RNA (497 nucleotides) under uncultured bacterium. Its description in RNAcentral is "partial 16S ribosomal RNA". It matches the Rfam family "Bacterial small subunit ribosomal RNA", at positions 28 to 507 of the family's 1533-position model. The record is from RNAcentral.